CCUACGGGAGGCAGCAGUGAGGACUAUUGGUCAAUGGCCGAGAGGCUGAACCAGCCAAGUCGCGUGAGGGAAGACGGCCCUACGGGCUGUAAACCUCUUUUGUCGGGGAGCAAAGAGAGUCACGUGUGACUCAUUGAGAGUACCCGAAGAAAAAGCAUCGGCUAACUUCGUGCCAGCAGCCGCGGUAAGACGGAGGAUGCGAGGGUUAUCCGGUUGUAUUGGGUUUAAGGGGUGCGCAGGCGGAGGGGCAAGUCAGCGGUAAAAUUGCGGGGCUCAACCCCGUACUGCCGUUGAAACUGCAUCGCGUGAGGGCUGGAGAAGUAUGCGGAAUGCGUGGUGUAGCGGUGAAAUGCAUAGAUAACACGCAGAACUCCGAUUGCGAAGGCAGCAUACCGGCGCGAAACUGACGCUCAUGCACGAAAGCGUGGGUAUCGAACAGGAUUAGAUACCCUGUAGUC
RNAcentral lists this ribosomal RNA (458 nucleotides) under uncultured bacterium. RNAcentral's name for it is "partial 16S ribosomal RNA". It matches the Rfam family "Bacterial small subunit ribosomal RNA", at positions 338 to 795 of the family's 1533-position model. The record is from RNAcentral.